Molecule: long non-coding RNA, 941 nt
Filed under: Homo sapiens (human)
Lineage: Eukaryota; Metazoa; Chordata; Mammalia; Primates; Hominidae
Description: HSALNT0164747
Source: RNAcentral
AGAUGAGGAGCUAACUGGCCACAUCUGCCCUCCACCAUGGAGACUGCUGUGCUCCUUCUGAUUGAAAUGAUUCAGGAGAUGUCUGGUCAACUCAUCCGUGCUGCUGUGUCCACAACCAACUAAGCAUGGCUGGGAUGGACUGCCUGGUGAAGAAGGACUUGAUUUAUAAUUGGCACUCAUUGGAAACCAAUGUUAAGACUUUUGGAUCCACACGAGGUCUUGGAGAUCCUGCAGCCUAAAUCUCUGGGACUCAGUGUCCUCAUCUGUAAACUGAGGAGGUUGUCGUGGACUGCCCAGUCAUUCCAUGCUGGGAUUCAGCCAGCCCCAGGACUUCUGAAUCCAAGUCCAAUGCUUGCUCUAUCCUAGCAAAUUCUCCACUCUUUCUUUAAAUGCCAGCUGUCAUCUAUGUCUCAAAAAAAUUAAAAAAAAAAUAAAAAGAAAUCCUAGCUGACUGUUGACCCUGAGUGGCAAUGUGGCUAAGAACCCAAUCAAUCUGCCUUGGCACAGGAAGAACAGGAAAGUAGAAAGCAUCCAAGUUGGGGAAAGUAACUCUGCGUCCACUUCCUUUGGCCAUUUUCCCUCCCCCUUUGUUGCUCUUAACACAUAAUGAUAAUAACGGUAACAAUCAUAUAGCUAACAUCUAUAGAGAACAGACUACAUGUCAGGUGUGGUUCUAAGUAUUUUAUAAGCAUUAAACAUAUUUGAUCCUCAAACAACCCUUUGAAGGAGGUAUGAUUAUUAUUUCUAUUUUACAGAUAAGGAAACUGAAGCACAGAGAAGUUAAGUGACCUGCCCAAGGCCACACAGCUAAAAGUACCAAAGCUGAGAUUGAAUUCACAUAGCCUGGCACCAGAGCCCAAGGUCUAUACUAAAGAGAUGAUGACAUGAUAAUAAGCCUGAAUAGACUUGUGAAAAGAUAAAGUUUGAUUACUUCAUGAACU